This 25-nucleotide ribosomal RNA is filed under the name Rhizoctonia solani. RNAcentral's name for it is "partial 18S ribosomal RNA". The record is from RNAcentral. Lineage: Eukaryota; Fungi; Basidiomycota; Agaricomycetes; Cantharellales; Ceratobasidiaceae.
GACUGCGGAAGGAUCAUUAUUGAAU